Molecule: ribosomal RNA, 401 nt
Filed under: uncultured bacterium
Lineage: Bacteria
Description: bacterial SSU rRNA
Rfam family: Bacterial small subunit ribosomal RNA
Source: RNAcentral
AGUGAACGCUGGCGGCAGGCCUAACACAUGCAAGUCGAACGGCAGCACGGCAGUAGCAAUACUGUGGGUGGCGAGUGGCGGACGGGUGAGGAAUACAUCGGGAUCUACCCUGUUGUGGGGGAUAACGUAGGGAAACUUACGCUAAUACCGCAUAAGAACUGAGGUUGAAAGCGGCGGACCGCAAGGCGUCGCGCGAUUGGAUGAACCGAUGUCCGAUUAGCUAGUUGGCGGGGUAAAGGCCCACCAAGGCGACGAUCGGUAGCUGGUCUGAGAGGACGACCAGCCACACUGGAACUGAGACACGGUCCAGACCCCUACGGGAGGCAGCAGUGGGGAAUAUUGGACAAUGGGCGCAAGCCUGAUCCAGCCAUGCCGCGUGGGUGAAGAAGGCCUUCGGUUGU